AAUUAUGCAUAACUUUUCAAUCCGACCGCCAAUUACCAGUAAACCAUAAAUAACUAAUCGAAGGGAGUGACUGCGGAGCACGAAAACGAAGAAGAAAAUGGAGAAAACAGAAGACUUGAAGUCGAUUCUACCCUACUUGCCAUUGUUGGUUCGAGCAUCAACUCUGUUUUGGCCAUCCAAAGCAGUCGUAAAUCAAUGGCGAAAGGACCCGAACACAUCCGGAUUAACUCCGGAGAACUGCUUUCUGUUGCCAUUUGUGAUAUCCGAAGCUUGGUCUCUCUCUUUGAACCUCUCGCUCCUUUUGCCUUCAACGAUUGCGUGCUUUCCUUUGAUGAUGUUUGGUUAUGCCGUGCAAUCAUGAAGAACUUGCUAGGAAUCACACUGAAUUGAUUGGUGCUCUUCUUGCUUGCUUGUUCUUUUGUUUGUUCCCAGUCACUAAUAGAGGUUCAAACCAUCUUCCAACCAUCAACUUUGAUGAAUUGUUUGCAUAUGUAACCUUAAGCUUUUUAGUGGACCAUUUAAAAUAUAUCAUGCAUGUUAGGUAUAUCAUAGUGAAAUAUGGAUAUUUGAAUAUGUGUGAUAUUUAGGCUUGUAGAGAUUUGUAUAGUGUGAUGGAUAGAGUGUCUUGCACCAAUGGCUAAGAUUUGAAAGUAAUUAAAAUUUGGUUAAAGAUUAUUAUCAUAUGUUAUGGUAAAGAAAUAUUAGGAAUUUCCAUGCUCACCUGAUGGUUAUAAUGUCUCAGUAUGAGCAGGUGCUAUCAUCAAACAAAAAUUUUUAGUUCCUGAGUUAGCAAUUUUGCUUUAUGAUUGAUUUAAUUUUCAUGGGUUUGGCUAAUGAAAUCAAUCGACUUUUUCUUCAAUUUGGUUUAUUUUGUUUAAAACUCUUACAAAUGUCAACUUUUUUUUUUGAAAAAAAGAAUUCUUGAAGCUAGUAAAUGAAUUGUGUAAAACUUUUAUCUUUUUUAGGAGUCUAUAUGAAAGUUAUAGCGAAAAUCAGGAAAAUAAAAUAAAGUGCAUUGUACAUUAUUUUAAAAGGAUAUCUUCAUUUAUGUGUGUUGGAUUUGUCUCAUUUGAGCGAAAGGUUCUUCCUUUAGACUGUCAUUGUUUAUUCAUCUCUUAUACCAAUGCUGAUGCUUGGAGCAAAUCAAUUGUACCCCUCUGCCCUUUUGAGGUAAUUCAAGAUACUUCUACAAUUACUAUGUUCAGUUGUAUUUGUUUAGUUUCACAAUUUUUAGAUAUUGAUGAAGCACACAGUUUAGUCUCAAUAGAAGAUCUCUUCACUGAUUCUCUAUCAAUAUAAUUACUACAUUCAGUUUUAUUUGUUUAGUUACACGGGGCUUCCUCAACUGCCAUUGAAACAAAUGAAGGAACAUCUAUCAAUCUAAUGCUCAGAAAUUCUGACCCAAAGAGUAGUCAGUUUCGGAACCAUAAGGAUUUUCCGUGUAUUGUGACUGGGAAUUGGGGAUGUGGUGCUUUUGGGGGAGAUCCCGAACUGAAGGCUGUAAUUCAGUGGCUUGCAGCUUCACCAGUAAACUAUUCUUUGUAAGAAAGUUCCUUACUUUGUAAAGGUAUUGCUGUAAACUCCCACCUUAUGAAAAUAUAUAUAUGAUUAUUUCUACCAAGAUACUCAAUAUACAUCAUCUCUUGGGUGGAAGGGCUAGUAGACCAAGCCUUAAUUUUCUGGGAAGUUUCUAAAUUUUUUUGGUGCAGGUUUUCCUGAUUCUUUUCUUUAUGUGAGAAGUUUAGUUUUAGAAAAGAAAUGAUGAUAGAAGAACUAUAUCUCUCCCACCUCAUUUUUUUUUCUUGUUUUUGUCACUGGUAUUUAAAUAUUUUUCUUUCUGGCUUUAAGACCUUCUAUGUCAUACCAUACAUUUAGCAUUGAGGCAUCAGAGAACCUGGGUCAGGUACUUAUCUUGUUCUUGCUAUUGCAAUUUAUUCUUCUUUCAUUAUCAUUAUGAAUCCGCAUAAUUCAUGUAUAUGGCUAGAUGUUUUAUAACAUCAUGUCAUGUGGCUUUAUGAUAUUUGUUUCUUGGUUCAUGUCCUAAUUUGUGAAAUAUAUGGCUAGUAUUGUGAUGAGAAUUUGUUUGACAUUGAUAUACAGGUGACAGUUGGGGACCUCUAGAAUAUGAUGGCAGAAUACUCAUCACAACGAUUGAAGGAUGAAACAAAUCUUGGGUUCUUUACUGGCUCCUUCCAUCAUUAACAUCUCAUUAAUCAAAGAUAUUUGACUCCCCAUAUAUUUGUUAGCUUCAUUUUUAGGAAGAUUAAUUGAGAUAGCUUUGCACUGUUUUCUUUUCUGUAAAUCAUUUUCUUUGAGUUGUAAGUUCCUGUGAAAAAUGAAAUCUGUAGUUGUUCGGCCAAAUUGGGAUUAUUUUGCAAAUUUAAAUAAUGCAUUCUCCUGUACCUUUC
Mangifera indica (mango) is the source of this 2408-nucleotide RNA transcript. It is a transcript of the gene named poly(ADP-ribose) glycohydrolase 1-like, with no coding region annotated. NCBI's taxonomy places the organism in Eukaryota, Viridiplantae, Streptophyta, Magnoliopsida, Sapindales, Anacardiaceae. The transcript is spliced from 3 exons. The record is from RefSeq and is a predicted model, not a curated record.